UUAUAAAAUGAUCGGAGGGAUGUAGCUUCGAUUUCGAUUGAAGUGUUAUAACCUUUGGUAGAUGUAACUGUCGGGACCGAGGAUUGCAACGGAUACCCUAACGGGCUAUUCGUCUGGCCUCUGAUACGACACUUCGGCGUCGAAAGCUUGCUUACGAUGUUGAAGCGUUCGGUCAAAAGGUUAGGACGGAUUAAAUUCGUUAAGGAUGCUGACGUAAUGGCUUUAAACGACCCGUCUUGAAACACGGACCAAGGAGUCUAACAUAUAUGCGAGUGUUUGGGCGUAGAAACCCUUACGCGUAAUGAAAGUAAUUCAGGUGGGAUCCGUUUUUUUCGCGGAGCACCAUCGACCGAUCAGGAUAUUUUUUGAUAGAUUUGAGUGAGAGCAUAUCUGUUGGGACCCGAAAGAUGGUGAACUAUGCCUGAAUAGGGUGAAGUCAGAGGAAACUCUGAUGGAGGCUCGUAGCGGUUCUGACGUGCAAAUCGAUCGUCAAAUUUGGGUAUAGGGGCGAAAGACUAAUCGAACCAUCUAGUAGCUGGUUCCUGCCGAAGUUUCCCUCAGGAUAGCAGAAACUCAUUAACAGUUUUAUGAGGUAAAGCGAAUGAUUAGAGGCCUUAGGGUUGAAACAGCCUUAACCUAUUCUCAAACUUUAAAUAUGUAAGAAGUUCACAGUUACUUAAUUGAACUUGAACCUUCGAAUGAGAGUUUCUAGUGGGCCAUUUUUGGUAAGCAGAACUGGCGAUGCGGGAUGAACCGAACGUAAGGUUAAGGUGCCAAAAUUUACGCUCAUUUAGAUACCACAAAAGGUGUUAGUUCAUCUG
Molecule: ribosomal RNA, 821 nt
Filed under: uncultured Glomeromycotina
Lineage: Eukaryota; Fungi; Glomeromycota
Description: LSU rRNA
Rfam family: Eukaryotic large subunit ribosomal RNA
Source: RNAcentral